GACGAACGCUGGCGGCGUGCUUAACACAUGCAAGUCGAACGAAGAGGCGAACGGGUGAGUAACGCGUAUUCAACCUGCCCUUCAGAGGGGGACAACAGUUGGAAACGAAUUCUAAUACCUCAUACUGAAGGUAGGGAUUGCGUGUGGUUAGGUAGUUGGAGGGGUAACGGCCCACCAAGGCGAUGAUCAGUAGCCGGUCUGAGAGGAUGAACGGCCAAAUUGGGACUGAGUCCAGGCCCAGACUCUGACGGGAGGCAGGAGUGGGGAAUCUGCCGAAAUGGACGAAAGUCUGACGGAGCAAAGCCGGGUGAGUGAUGACGGCCUUCGGGUUGGAAAGCUCUGUUAAUCGGGAAGCGGUACCGGAAUAGAAAGCCACGGCUAACUACGUGCCAGCAGCCGCGGUAAUUC
RNAcentral lists this ribosomal RNA (408 nucleotides) under uncultured bacterium. RNAcentral describes it as "partial 16S ribosomal RNA". It matches the Rfam family "Bacterial small subunit ribosomal RNA", at positions 28 to 526 of the family's 1533-position model. The record is from RNAcentral.